Molecule: ribosomal RNA, 427 nt
Filed under: uncultured bacterium
Lineage: Bacteria
Description: partial 16S ribosomal RNA
Rfam family: Bacterial small subunit ribosomal RNA
Source: RNAcentral
UGGGGAAUAUUGCACAAUGGGCGCAAGCCUGAUGCAGCCAUGCCGCGUGUAUGAAGAAGGCCUUCGGGUUGUAAAGUACUUUCAGAGAGGAGGAAGGCGGUAAGGUUAAUAACCUUAUCGAUUGACGUUACUCGCAGAAGAAGCACCGGCUAACUCCGUGCCAGCAGCCGCGGUAAUACGGAGGGUGCAAGCGUUAAUCGGAAUUACUGGGCGUAAAGCGCACGCAGGCGGUCUGUCAAGUCGGAUGUGAAAUCCCCGGGCUCAACCUGGGAACUACAUUCGAAACUGCCAGGCUAGAGUCUUGUAGAGGCGGGUAGAAUUCCAGGUGUAGCGGUGAAAUGCGUAGAGAUCUGGAGGAAUACCGGUGGCGAAGGCGGCCCCCUGGACAAAGACUGACGCUCAGGUGCGAAAGCGUGGGGAGCAAACA